RNAcentral lists this ribosomal RNA (489 nucleotides) under Siminovitchia thermophila. Its description in RNAcentral is "partial 23S ribosomal RNA". It matches the Rfam family "Bacterial large subunit ribosomal RNA", at positions 1 to 485 of the family's 2925-position model. The record is from RNAcentral. Lineage: Bacteria; Bacillati; Bacillota; Bacilli; Caryophanales; Bacillaceae.
GAUUAAGUUAAUAAGGGCGCACGGUGAAUGCCUUGGCACUAGGAGCCGAUGAAGGACGGGACGAACACCGAUAUGCUUCGGGGAGCUGUAAGCAAGCUGAUCCGGAGAUUUCCGAAUGGGGAAACCCACUGCCAGUAAUGAGGCAGUAUCCAUUUCUGAAUCCAUAGGGAAUGGAAGGCAUACCCGGGGAACUGAAACAUCUAAGUACCCGGAGGAAGAGAAAGAAAAAUCGAUUCCCCCAGUAGCGGCGAGCGAAACGGGAAGAGCCCAAACCGAAAGGCUUGCCUUUCGGGGUUGUAGGACACUCAAAGUGGAGUGACAAAGGAACGGCGUAGACGAAGCGGCCUGGAAAGGCCGGCCAAAGAAGGUAACAGCCCUGUAGUUGAAACGUCGCUCCCUCCCGAGUGGAUCCUGAGUACGGCGGGACACGAGAAAUCCCGUCGGAAUCCGGGAGGACCAUCUCCCAAGGCUAAAUACUCCCUAGUGACC